RNAcentral lists this transfer RNA (72 nucleotides) under Armatimonadota bacterium. RNAcentral's name for it is "Armatimonadetes bacterium tRNA-Asn". It matches the Rfam family "tRNA". From Rfam's summary of the family: Transfer RNA (tRNA) molecules are approximately 80 nucleotides in length. Their secondary structure includes four short double-helical elements and three loops (D, anti-codon, and T loops). The record is from RNAcentral. Lineage: Bacteria; Bacillati; Armatimonadota.
UGCCCGCUAGCUCAACGGUAGAGCGUUCGGCUGUUAACCGAAAUGUUGAUGGUUCGAAUCCAUCGCGGGCAG